AGUGAACGCUGGCGGUAGGCCUAACACAUGCAAGUCGAACGGCAGCACAGUAAGAGCUUGCUCUUACGGGUGGCGAGUGGCGGACGGGUGAGGAAUACAUCGGAAUCUACUUUUUCGUGGGGGAUAACGUAGGGAAACUUACGCUAAUACCGCAUACGACCUACGGGUGAAAGCUGGGGAUCUUCGGACCUUGCGCGAUUGAAUGAGCCGAUGUCGGAUUAGCUAGUUGGCGGGGUAAAGGCCCACCAAGGCGACGAUCCGUAGCUGGUCUGAGAGGAUGAUCCGCCACACUGGAACUGAGACACGGUCCAGACUCCUACGGGAGGCAGCAGUGGGGAAUAUUGGACAAUGGGCGCAAGCCUGAUCCAGCCAUACCGCGUGGGUGAAGAAGGCCUUCGGGUUGUAAAGCCCUUUUGUUGGGAAAGAAAAGCAGCAGGUUAAUACCCCGCUGUUCUGACGGUACCCAAAGAAUAAGCACCGGCUAACUUCGUG
Molecule: ribosomal RNA, 492 nt
Filed under: uncultured bacterium
Lineage: Bacteria
Description: partial 16S ribosomal RNA
Rfam family: Bacterial small subunit ribosomal RNA
Source: RNAcentral